Molecule: ribosomal RNA, 497 nt
Filed under: uncultured bacterium
Lineage: Bacteria
Description: partial 16S ribosomal RNA
Rfam family: Bacterial small subunit ribosomal RNA
Source: RNAcentral
GAUGAACGCUGGCGGCGUGCCUAAUACAUGCAAGUCGAGCGAACGGACGAGAAGCUUGCUUCUCUGAUGUUAGCGGCGGACGGGUGAGUAACACGUGGAUAACCUACCUAUAAGACUGGGAUAACUUCGGGAAACCGGAGCUAAUACCGGAUAAUAUUUUGAACCGCAUGGUUCAAAAGUGAAAGACGGUCUUGCUGUCACUUAUAGAUGGAUCAGCGCUGCAUUAGCUAGUUGGUAAGGUAACGGCUUAUCAAGGCAACGAUGCAUAGCCGACCUGAGAGGGUGAUCGGCCACACUGGAACUGAGACACGGUCCAGACUCCUACGGGAGGCAGCAGUAGGGAAUCUUCCGCAAUGGGCGAAAGCCUGACGGAGCAACGCCGCGUGAGUGAUGAAGGUCUUCGGAUCGUAAAACUCUGUUAUUAGGGAAGAACAUAUGUGUAAGUAACUGUGCACAUCUUGACGGUACCUAAUCAGAAAGCCACGGCUAACUACGUG